This 468-nucleotide ribosomal RNA is filed under the name uncultured bacterium. RNAcentral's name for it is "partial 16S ribosomal RNA". It matches the Rfam family "Bacterial small subunit ribosomal RNA", at positions 28 to 507 of the family's 1533-position model. The record is from RNAcentral.
GACGAACGCUGGCGGCGUGCUUAACACAUGCAAGUCGAACGGAAAGGCCCUGCUUUUGUGGGGUGCUCGAGUGGCGAACGGGUGAGUAACACGUGAGUAACCUGCCCUUGACUUUGGGAUAACUUCAGGAAACUGGGGCUAAUACCGGAUAGGAGCUCCUGCUGCAUGGUGGGGGUUGGAAAGUUUCGGCGGUUGGGGAUGGACUCGCGGCUUAUCAGCUUGUUGGUGGGGUAGUGGCUUACCAAGGCUUUGACGGGUAGCCGGCCUGAGAGGGUGAACGGGCACCUUGGGACUGAGAUACGGCCCAGACUCCUACGGGAGGCAGCAGUGGGGAAUAUUGCACAAUGGGCGGAAGCCUGAUGCAGCAACGCCGCGUGCGGGAUGACGGCCUUCGGGUUGUAAACCGCUUUCGGCUGUGACGAAGCGUGAGUGACGGUAAUGGGUAAAGAAGCACCGGCUAACUACGUG